Molecule: antisense RNA, 194 nt
Filed under: Rahnella aquatilis CIP 78.65 = ATCC 33071
Lineage: Bacteria; Pseudomonadati; Pseudomonadota; Gammaproteobacteria; Enterobacterales; Yersiniaceae
Description: Yersinia sRNA 251
Rfam family: Yersinia sRNA 251
About the family: Antisense to phoH gene.
Source: Rfam by way of RNAcentral
AAUAAGCGUUCAACGUUCUCUGGCACAGCUCGGAACGGACGCAGUCCUGCUUACCAAACUUAAUGAUGCCGACCAUCUCGUCUUCUUCGAAGCGGGAUAGCGCAUCGCUGAGCCCCGAUACUACGCCACGUGGUAAAUCGCACUGGGUAAUAUCACCGUUAACAAUCACCGUCACAUUUUCACCGAGACGGGUC